Molecule: non-coding RNA, 141 nt
Organism: Pogona vitticeps (central bearded dragon)
Lineage: Eukaryota; Metazoa; Chordata; Lepidosauria; Squamata; Agamidae
Source: RefSeq, a predicted model, not a curated record
GGUGGAGAUACCAUUAGUGUUGGUGGUGGAGGUAGCCCUGUUAUAGAAGGCAAUGGCAUAGGGAACAAUUUUCAACCUGGUUCAAGAAAUAAUGGCAACACCAUUAGCAUUGGGGAUGGCGGCAACCCUGUUGUUGAAGGC